This 74-nucleotide transfer RNA is filed under the name Salmo salar (Atlantic salmon). It matches the Rfam family "tRNA". From Rfam's summary of the family: Transfer RNA (tRNA) molecules are approximately 80 nucleotides in length. Their secondary structure includes four short double-helical elements and three loops (D, anti-codon, and T loops). Further hydrogen bonds mediate the characteristic L-shaped molecular structure. tRNAs have two regions of fundamental functional importance: the anti-codon, which is responsible for specific mRNA codon recognition, and the 3' end, to which the tRNAs corresponding amino acid is attached (by aminoacyl-tRNA synthetases). tRNAs cope with the degeneracy of the genetic code in two manners: having more than one tRNA (with a specific anti-codon) for a particular amino acid; and 'wobble' base-pairing, i.e. permitting non-standard base-pairing at the 3rd anti-codon position. The record is from Rfam by way of RNAcentral. Lineage: Eukaryota; Metazoa; Chordata; Actinopteri; Salmoniformes; Salmonidae.
UCCCCUGUAGCUCAGUUGGUAGAGCAUGGCACUUGCUAAUGCCAGGGUUGUGGGUUUGAUUCCCACAGGGAGAC